RNAcentral lists this ribosomal RNA (468 nucleotides) under uncultured bacterium. Its description in RNAcentral is "partial 16S ribosomal RNA". It matches the Rfam family "Bacterial small subunit ribosomal RNA", at positions 28 to 507 of the family's 1533-position model. The record is from RNAcentral.
GACGAACGCUGGCGGCGUGCUUAACACAUGCAAGUCGAACGGAAAGGCCCUGCUUUUGUGGGGUGCUCGAGUGGCGAACGGGUGAGUAACACGUGAGUAACCUGCCCUUGACUUUGGGAUAACUUCAGGAAACUGGGGCUAAUACCGGAUAGGAGCUCCUGCUGCAUGGUGGGGGUUGGAAAGUUUCGGCGGCUGGGGAUGGACGCGCGGCUUAUCAGCUUGUUGGUGGGGUAGUGGCUUACCAAGGCUUUGACGGGUAGCCGGCCUGAGAGGGUGACCGGCCACAUUGGGACUGAGAUACGGCCCAGACUCCUACGGGAGGCAGCAGUGGGGAAUAGUGCACGAUGGGCGGAAGCCUGAUGCAGCAACGCCGCGUGCGGGAUGACGGCCUUCGGGUUGUAAACCGCUUUCGCCUGUGACGAAGCGUGAGUGACGGUAAUGGGUAAAGAAGCACCGGCUAACUACGUG